UCUGACGGUUACAGAACACUAGAGAAGCUAGUUCUUUAAUCGACAACACCCGAUAAUUUUUACUUUUUCCCAUAGCAUAUAUACCGCCGUUACUGCAAACCAAAAAACUAAACCCUAUAAAAACAUUUUUAAAAAAUCAGGUCAAGGUGUAGUUAAUGAAUAAGACAGAAUAAGCCACACAUAAUAAGCAAUCAUAGCUCAUAAUAUUAAAAUAACAA
Molecule: ribosomal RNA, 218 nt
Filed under: Psilochorus itaguyrussu
Lineage: Eukaryota; Metazoa; Arthropoda; Arachnida; Araneae; Pholcidae
Description: partial 12S ribosomal RNA
Source: RNAcentral